Phasianus colchicus (ring-necked pheasant) is the source of this 1570-nucleotide long non-coding RNA. The record is from Ensembl. Lineage: Eukaryota; Metazoa; Chordata; Aves; Galliformes; Phasianidae.
UUGAAACGUGGGGAUUUUGGUUGUUUGGUGCUGCAGACCAGAUGCUGCGGAUUGUCUCACGUUGUGAGCCCAGAUUUUGGGCUGAAAUGGGUCGAUUUUGGGCUGAAAUGCAGGAAAUUUGGUUCUUUUUCGCCCCAUAUCAGAUCCUCAGAGUUUCCUCGCGUUUUGAGCUCGAAUUUUGGGCAGAAACGUGGGGAUUUUGGUUCUUUGGUGCUGCAAACCAGAUGCUUUGGGUUUCCUUUUGUUGUGAGCCCAGAUUUUGGGCUGAAAUGGGUCAAUUUUGGUUGUUUGGUGCUGCAGACCAGACGCUUUGGGUUUUCUCACCUUCUGAGCCCAGAUUUUGGGUUGAAACGUGGGGAUUUUGGUUCUUUGGUGCUGCAAACCAGACGCUUUGGAUUUCCUCGCGUUGUGAGCCCAGAUUUUGGGUUGAAAUGGGUCGAUUUUGGGCUGAAAUGCAGGAAAUUUGGUUCUUUUUCGCCCCAUAUCAGAUCCUCAGAGUUUCCUCGCGUUUUGAGCUCGAAUUUUGGGCAGAAACGUGGGGAUUUUGGUUCUUUGGUGCUGCAAACCAGAUGCUUUGGGUUUCCUUGCGUUGGGAGCCCAAAUUUUGGGCUGAAAUGGGUCGAUUUUGGGCUUAAAUGCAGGAAAUUUGGUUCUUUUUCGCCCCAUAUCAGAUCCUCAGGGUUUCCUCGCAUUGUGAGCCCAAAUUUUGGGCUGAAAUGGGUCGAUUUUGGGCUGAAAUGCAGGAAAUUUGGUUAUUUUUCCCCCCAUAUCAGAUCCUCAGGGUUUCCUCGCGUUCUGAGCCCAGAUUUUGGGCUGAAAUGGGUCGAUUUUGGGCUGAAAUGCCAGAAAUUUCAUUACCUGGUGCUGCAGACCAGACGCUUUGGGUUUUCUCACCUUCUGAGCCCAGAUUUUGGGUUGAAACGUGGGGAUUUGGGUUGUUUGGUGCUGCAGACCAGACGCUGCGGGUUUCCUCGCGUUGUGAGCCCAGAUUUUGGGCUGAAAUGGGUCGAAUUUGAGCUGAAAUGCAGGAAAUUUGGUUCUUUUUCCCCCCAUAUCAGACGCUUUGGGUUUCCUCGUGUUGGGAGCCCAAAUUUUGGGCUGAAAUGUGGGGAUUUGGGUUGUUUGGUGCUGCAGACCAGACGCUUUGGGUUUUCUCACCUUCUGAGCCCAGAUUUUGGGCUGAAAUGGGUCGAUUUUGGGCUGAAAUGCAGGAAAUUUGGUCCUUUUCCCCCCCAUAUCAGAUCCUCAGGGUUUCAUCGCGUUGUGAGCCCAGAUUUUGGGCUGAAAUGUCGGGAUUUGGGUUGUUUGGUGCUGCAGACCAGACGCUUUGGGUUUUCUCACCUUCUGAGCCCGAAUUUUGGGUUGAAACGCGGGGAUUUGGGUUGUUUGGUGCUGCAGACCAGACGCUGCGUGUCUACUCGUGCCGGGGGUCGGGGCUGCGGGCGCUGCGCUGCUGGCGGGGUCGCGACGUGGGCUGGGCCAUCCUCGACGUCCUCUUCAGUCCCGACGCAUCGCAGUGCCUCUAUUCCUCCUGGUCUGACUACGGUGGGUGGGCGGGGCUUCCGGGAGU